AUUGAACGCUGGCGGUAGGCCUAACACAUGCAAGUCGAACGGCAGCACAGUAAUAGCUUGUUCUUACGGGUGGCGACGGGCGGGCGGGUGCUGAAUACAUCCGAAUCUAUUUUUUCUAGCGUGCUAACGUAGGGGCACAUACGCUAAUACCGCAUACGACCUACGGGUGAGAGCAUCGGAUCUUCGGACCUUGCGUGAUUGAAUGACGCGAGGUCGGAUUAGCUAGUUGGCGGGGUAAAGGCCCACCAAGGCGACGAUCCGUAGCUGGUCUGAGAGGAUGAUCAGCCACACUGGAACUGAGACACGGUCCAGACUCCUACGGGAGGCAGCAGUGGGGAAUAUUGGACAAUGGGCGCAAGCCUGAUCCAGCCAUGCCGCGUGGGUGAAGAAGGUCUUCGGGUUGUAAAGCCCUUUUGUUGGGAAAGAAAAGCAGUAGGUUAAUACCCCGCUGUUCUGACGGUACCCAAAGAAUAAGCACCGGCUAACUUCGUG
This 492-nucleotide ribosomal RNA is filed under the name uncultured bacterium. Its description in RNAcentral is "partial 16S ribosomal RNA". It matches the Rfam family "Bacterial small subunit ribosomal RNA", at positions 30 to 507 of the family's 1533-position model. The record is from RNAcentral.